UGUGGUGUGGGGAGGGAGGGAAGAAGAAAGGGGGUGGAAGGAGGGAGAAGGAGAGAGACACACACACAAAGGGACAAAGACACUAGGACACAGAACUAAAUUUUUUAAAUGCCUUAUAGAAGUAAAGACCAACUUAGUGUGGGAGUGCCUAAAACAGAGACCUGGCUUCCGAUGGGGGGACCAGGGAAAACAGUUACAUUCUGGGCUUGGCUUGAAGGUCAGGGCUGACCUCCACUGUGGCUACUGCGGAAAGGGCAUUCCACCAAGUGCCCAGCAAGCAAGGCAGAGAGCUAUACAAGCAGGAGGCAUGUCUGGGAAGUGGAAGUAAUAGAGUGCAGCCCUGGAGGGGCCUGGCAGGAGCUGCAGGCCCACUGGUAAAUGCCAAGCUCAGUUUUACAUGGUUCUGUUAAGUAACAGGUGACACUAGAUGUUUGACAGGGGACGGGGGAGGUGGGAAUACAACUUUUUUCUUUCUUUUUCUUUUUUUAACUUAAGUACAAAAUUCUGACACCAUGUAAAGAAUAUACCAGAAAGGCAAAAGCCAUGAGAAAGAUCCGUCAGGAGGCUCUGUAAUAAAUCAGAUGAGGGAUGAUAGGGUCUGAUCUCUGGUCCUGGCAUAGGAGAGGUAAAGGAAAGGACAAACAAGACACUCUCUGACAGGACUUAGUAAAUAAUUAAAUGCAAGGAAAAAGGAUGAGUCGUCCAUGACUCAAGCCCUUAAAUUCUACCUGACCAAGGACAUCCAGAAGGCUGAUACUGCAUCUUUUUCUUAGCUUUUAUUAGGACUGGUGUAAAAUUAACAUAUACCUUUACAUCGUAAAUAUUUUUCAUCACUGAUAUGAAGUAUAGGGAAUUGAUUUUCAAAAGGAUAUCAGAUUAUUAACUGUAUCUUUCUUUAGAAUAAAAAUGAAAUGUGCUAUUUCAGCGAGACCCAUGAUAUGGACCUAAAGCACUAUGGUUUUAUUUCUAGCUCAGGCUUCAGCCUUUUUUUCUGUUCAUUUACAUUUAUAAAAAGUAAAAUGAGCUUUAAUUUUUUAUCCAGAGAGUCAAAUGACCUGCACUCACUGAGUGUAUUUGUAUACCUCUCCCACAUUGCCAUGGAUAAUGCAGAAGUACGAUCAAUGCCGAUGCUUAAAAAUCAUUUGCUGAAUGACUACAUUUAAAAUUUCAAGUCAAAUAGAAAUCACCUGUUCCCCAAACCUAUAACUAGCUUUUACUGAUAGAAUUAGACUGCCUGUUAAAUGUAGGUAUGUCAUUGCUACUGUUCAUUAUAUGACAAUUUAAAAUUUUCAUCCAAAAUCUAUUUCCUAUAUAAUUUACCCUCCUCACCAAAUUUGGUUUUCUAAAAAAUUGCUAGCUGCUAUAUCCAAAGCCAAGUCCUCAUUAGCGUUAGUGCUAAGAAUUGCCAUAGAUAGAACAAGAAAAUGUUUGGUAGAUAUUGCAAUGCACUUACAACGUUUCCUUCAAAAGUGACAUGACUAUACGGUCAUUAUAUGUAGAAAUUUUACCUUAUAAUAAUGUUCCUUCUUUGUGUUUUGAUGGAAAACCACUGAUUCUUUCGUCUACUUCUUGUUAGCGAGUGACCUGCUAAUCACAUACAAAAUACAAGUCGAACUUUGAGAUCUGGCCUUUAAAGGCCUUGAUGAUCUGGGUCAACUGACUUUGAAACGUAAUUCCCUCUAACUUGGUCAGUGAUUCCUGAAGAGUGAGGGUUUGUACCACCGGUUAUGCAGGUGCUGAGGAGAAGGGUCACUGGGAAGCUGGGUUUCAGGAGGACUUCAUGGGCAACAAGGCAGGCAGAGUAGGGGGCAAGAUAGGUUGGGGUUAUCUCCUUUCUUUUCUGGAUCCCAGGCUUUGGUGGCAGCUAAGCCCUGGCACGUGCAAGCAUGACAGUGUGCACACAGAGGUUGGCUGGGAUGGUGUCCCUGAGGACUGACCUAGCUGCAGUUACUUCAGAACUAGGGGCUCUGCAAGCCUGUGGCAGAACUGGAGCUCCCAAUUCUGAUUCACUGACUUGGCAGUAAGUGUUUGGGUUGAGUCUGAUACAUCCGAAUUCAAGUUUGAGUCACAUAGUAGCUGAGUGCCUUGGGGUGCCUGGCUGGUUCAGUAGGCACAGCAUGUGACUCUCAUUCUUAGGGUUGGGUGUGGGGCCUACUUUAAAAAAUUUGUAAAAUAAAUUUUUUUAAAUAAAAAAAAUUUAAAAACUGCAUCUUAUAGGAAAAUCUAUUAUAAUAUUAACUACAAUAAGCUGUUUUUUCUAAGUAUUUUUUAUUUGAAUUGAUCCCAUAAAGACGCGAUAACACAUUAUUUGCCCAAAUUUGGUUGUAAGAUUGGUUGUCUAUCAGUGGGCUGUUUCCCUUCUUUCUUAAUUAUAGGUAAGUAUCUCGGCAAUAUACCUAGCUAACAACAUUUCCCAACCAUCCCUACUAGUAAAGACAGCCAAGUGAAAGCUAUUGAAUUGGGCUUUUGGAAAAGCUAUUUAAAGGGGGCUUGCUUUUGCCUCAAUCUCCUCCUUUAAUGGCUGGAGAUGCAGCAGCCAUCUGGUAAUCAGGAGGCAACCUGGUGUUUUAAAGCCACACGUUAAGGGUGGUGGGGCAGAAAGACAGAAGUCUAGUACAUUGAUGGUAUCAUGGAGCCAUUAUACUGGCCCUCGAUUGCUGAACCCAGGACAUUUUUCAAUGCAAAAAACAAACAAACCCUGAUUCGUCGAAACCACCAGUUUAUGAUUGUCCAUUAUAGGCAGUCAAAUGCAAUUCCUGAUUCAUCCAUGUAUAUACACUUUACAGAUAGCACCUAGGUAAUACUAUUUGAGGGGAGAUGAAAAGAUCCCCAGUUUUUUCAAACACACUUUUUUCCUUGGUAUUAUGAAGUAUAUAUUUACUAUAAAGUGUAUCAUGCCAGUAUUAUUCAUUCUUUGCAAAUAGGGAUUAAAAGCAUUCGUUAAAAUGCAAGUGUUAUCUGAGAGGAGUUACACUUUAAGCUCUCAAUAUAAUUGAAUAUCUUGUGAAUUAAUUUAUUAAUUAACUUCCAUGAUUGGGUAGGUUCCAAGGGGAUGGAACAUAAAGACAGAUAAGUUUGAAGACUAGUCCAGAAAAGGAGCAAUGUCAGGCUACUAUAGUAAGAAUCACUACUCCCUUAUCUAGUGCCCUGCCCCCCACCUCCUGACCUCCAUCCCAUGACACAGUUCCCACCCCAAAAAGACUGAUGGGCAGCCUUAGAGGUAGAAAGCACAAGAAACAAAAGGAGAUACAGAACCUGAAGGCAAACUUCUUUAUUAUGUAAGGCUGCCACAACCACCCCUCUGUAUGGGAGUACUUUACCCUAUAAAAAAACUCCACGGUUAACUAAUAAACAGCACUGGUAGAUUAGUCAUUCAGCUGAUAAUUGAGUCACUUCUCUAUCUACCAACUGCUGUGAAAGAAAGGACAAAACUUGUGUCAGGGAGCAGCUAAAGCAUGGGACCAGUUCAAGGGGACUGGAUUUACCUAAAGUUUGAUCUAGUGGACAACCAAUCAUUUCAGGAACUCAAACACCUCUCCAAAUGCUUGUUGUUUUCCAGGCUCUGCGCUAGAAACCAGAGAUUUGGCAGUGAUGAUGAUGAUGUCUUGUCCUCAGAAAACUUAGCAAACUUCUACAGCACAAAGGCAUAGCAAAACUGCAACUAAGUUGAAAGCACACAAUACUGGUUUUGGUUCUCAGUGUCAACAGGCAUGAGGUGAAGGUUUAAAAAACAAAAAAAAGUAACACCCAUGGAAAUUUAUCCAGCUAAAAAUGGUACACCUCUUUCUGAUCUGCUUCAGUGGCCCUUCUGCACAAGUGUGAUUUCUGCCCAGCAUGGUAAGAAACUGUAAACCACAACGGGGCAAGGCCAGGUAAUGAUCGGGCACGUGCCUCGAAGUCAUUGGAUUUGGUUCUGUAAGCAGCUGAAGAGCCCCUGAUGUCAUCAGUUCUACAAGCACACUGGGCUCUCAGUACACAACACCAAGGUCAGCCCCAACUUCCCUCGUCCUACAGUUCCUGCUUGCUCAUCUACUAGGGUUUUUAAGGAAGAUGCCAAGGAAAACUAGGGGAUAUGCCUCCAUGAAGCUACAUUUUUCAUCGUCAGAAGAAUGAAUUUAAAUAAAAGUUGCAAGCCAUCACGUUGUCAGUAAAGCUGCACUGUUUACUUAGGACACAAAUCGUACGCUCCGUUUUGUGACUAGCUUUAAACAAAAGUUAAAAUGAUUCUUCAGCGGCUUGUAUUUCGUUUAAUAUGUAUACUUGGUUCAUUUUCACUCAUUCUUUUCUGCGGGAUUGAGUUAAUGUAGAAGAAAGGACUCUUUUUAAAAAGCAAAAGUAACUUUUUGUUUAAAUUUCAAACCUUAAGUACAUUUAACAUUUUUAAAUUCACAUGGCUUUGGUUCUCCAGUAAUUGUAAAACUGUCAUUGGUUUUACUUAACUCUAAGGCACCUUAACUAAACAGCAAUAACCCAUUCAAGUAUUUUACAUUCUACCUCACUGUAUUUAUGAGAGUUACAUUUUUUCCUACUGUGCUGUUUGUAAUUUUCUUUUGCCUGUACUCAAAACAUAUUUUAAAAUAUAAUUUGGCUAGGGAAUUUCAGGGUAUUUAUUUCCUAAAUACUGGGCUCACAUAAACAUAAGACCGGUUUUAUAUCCUUGCUUAUUUAAUAUCACUCUAGUUUUCUCUAAUUUCUUUGGAUAGUACCAACUUAAAAGCAACUUAAUCAAAUAAAAUUUCUAAGAAUCAAGUCGAUGUUAUUCAAUGUAUUUUUAGUUAAAUUCUGUUAAAUCUUAAUUUUCAGAGUAUGUUUCUGACUUCAGAAUCUUUCAAGGAAACACAUUCUAAUCCAACUCAGGUAAGUUACGAGUUAAAUGUGUACAAUUCAGAAAAGAAAUAUGGCAAGUCACGUAUGUGGCUCAGUCUUAGAGUGAUGUUUACACAGGGGGUCCUGGCUCUGUCUGCACUAUAUUAUGACCCUUGUCAUCGCCUGCCCUGGAGCAGUUACAUAUGUGUCUACUUCUCCCAUUAAGCCAGUCUCUCCUGAAGGGCAGAAGCAAUCUGAAACCUUUGUAUCUUCAGUGAAGCCUCCCACAGCACUUUGCACAAAGCAGACACACAACACAUGUUUGCAAAGCUGUGUCAGAAGAGCAAAGUUCUUGGAUCUCCCUUGACAUACAAGCCCCAUGAAAAAUGAAAGCAAAAGUAACCUAGGUGAAUGGGUUGGGGGGCAGGUGCAGGUGGUAGGGUUAAGAAUGUUAAUAAGCAACCUCAAAUGAAAAUAUUUAAAUGUGAUCUUGCUUAUUAACUUAUCACUAAUCUACUUGUACAAAAGUCGAGAUUUAAAAAAAAAAAAAAAAAGAAAAAAGAAAGGUAAGUUUUCAUCCUUCCCAAAUUAGAAGACAGGGAAGCUUCAUUAUUUGGUUUGAAAGUAUUUUCUGAAUUAUACAUGCCCAUAUGACACAGCCAAUAUUAAGAAUUUGUUCUCCUGGUGUUGCCACUACUGAACAAUGACGAACAGAUCAACAGUACAGGAAUUCCCCAACAAAGAGUGACCCAUUGUGUAGAAAACAGAUCCUAAAACAAGGAACUGUAUUUAGUGUAUGUUCCUACUUUCUGAAUUCUGGCACACCCUUAGUCCCUAGCACCAAAGAGUCAGUCUCUCAGUAAACCUGAAACUAAUCUUUCAAAGGCAAUGUAAUUCAACAAACAUUUAUCGUGCAUCCACUGUAUGCAAAGGCAGUAAGAAUGAAAAUCUGAGGGAAAAAAGGGCCUGCAAAAGAGACUGAGAAGCAAUGAUCAGGAAAGAAGGAAAAGAUACAGGGGAGAGAGGGGGUGAACGGAACCCAAAAGAGCGAGGUGAUUGGUAACCAUUCUCAGAUGUCACAAAGGGUGGAAAGCUGAGACUCCAGAAGAAAAGACAGAAUUCUGUGUAAAUGCAAAAUACUGGGAUCAAUGAACAAAAUGAAGAACUUGUGGAAUCUUCCAUGUUUAGAAUAAUUGUUUUAUGAACCUAUUCCCCAAGAAUAAGUUCCAGUUAUACUAAUGUUACUACCAAUUUCCCUACCAUUCAGGGUUGCAAUUUCUUCCUUUUCCCUCUGAUAACUAAUGUGACCAGUUACCACGUCCUAUCACUCAUACCCACAUGAUUACGGUUGCAGAUAUGGUAGUAUAGGUUGUGUACUGCACAAGAGUGCCACAUCUACAGGGAGGAGUGUUCACAUUACAGAUGCAUAGGUUUAAUUUUCCAGUAGAUGGCAGUCAAGUGUCUUAUUGUAAUUAAGUAAAUAUAUUACAACAAUUUUCUAACAGAUGGAAGUAAAAUGUCUUAAAGACAGGGCAUCUUUUUAAUUCCCAGAAUGCACUGAGCGGGUCAGUGGUAGCUCUGUUCACAAUGCUUCCCACCUGUAUUCUAGUAUUCAUUCUGGCUCCAGCCAUGACAGAUCCGACUCCUAUGACAUCUUUCAAUGGCUUCCACCCUGAUCCCUUAAUUUCUCCACACCUGAGUCUAUCCCAUAAGUAUCUGAAGAGUUUCCCAAAGAAAAGUUCCACUAGUAUAACGUUGCUUUCCCAGAAGCCUUCAGUGGCUCUAUGUCAUAGUCUCUUCAACCUCAUGCUCAAGGCCCUUCAUACUAUGUCCUUAAUCUUCCUUUCCAGUCUAGUCAUUCACUACUAACCAAGAGACACCCUACUCCCAGUCACAACUAAUUACUGUCUGCCUUCCGUAUAUUCUGUCCUUUCCUAUUUUGCUAUCUUUGUCCAUGCCAUUUCCUCUGCCUGGAAUUUUCUCCAAACCCUGUCUUCCUGCUAGAAGUUCUAAAUUACAUUCAGUAGUAUAUUUUGGGAAGAGGUUUUGGAUGACUAAAUACUGUCUUCAGCAAGCAUCAAAACAAACCAAACAAAAGCAAAAAAGAAAGUAUUCCCCUCCUCGGUUUUUGCAGGUAUUCCUGUGAAGUAUUGGUACAUAACAAACUACUCCAAACUUAGCACUUAAAACAAGGACAAUUUCUAUCAUACCUCACAAAUCUGUGGGCCUGAAAUUUGGAAAGAGCUGAGCACUUCUGUUCUCUGUAGUAGUGCGAAUGGUCUCUCAGAUAUUGGUAGUCAGCUGGCAGAUGGGCUAUCUGGAGGGUCCCCACUUCUCCUGCUUGUCACAGACCUACAAGGUCUUCAUUCUUUAGGGCCCAGCUGAAAUUCCCCUUCUCCCAAGAAUGCUUUCCACACCCUUGAGUCAGGUUUAAUCUCUCAUUGCUUCAGAUUUUCUAGUACCCCUUUCUUUGUUAUAGGACUUACACUAGGUUUUCAUUUAUGUAAGAAGAAGAGAGAAAAAGGCCAAGGGAAUAGUAGAAUGCUUUGGUCAUAUGAAUUCUCAUUCAAGUUUAAAGAGGAAACAAAAUAUUCAAUGUGACUCGAACUCUGGAGGAAUCAAAGACAGAGCAUGAGCAGGGGAGGGACAGAGAGAGGGAGACACAGAAUC
Leopardus geoffroyi (Geoffroy's cat) is the source of this 7476-nucleotide long non-coding RNA. RefSeq lists it as uncharacterized. The record is from RefSeq and is a predicted model, not a curated record. The transcript is spliced from 5 exons. NCBI's taxonomy places the organism in Eukaryota, Metazoa, Chordata, Mammalia, Carnivora, Felidae.